UGUCCUAUGUCAUGUCCUAUCCCUGUAGGUCACAGUAGAUAUACACCUCAAUGUCAUGUCCUAUCCCUGUAGGUCACAGUAGAUAUACACCUCAAUGUCAUGUCCUAUGUCAUGUCCUAUCCCUGUAGGUCACAGUAGAUAUACACCUCAAUGUCAUGUCCUACGUCAUGUCCUAUCCCUGUAGGUCACAGUAAACACACACCUCAAUGUCAUGUCCUACGUCAUGUCCUAUCCCUGUAGGUCACAGUAAAC
Molecule: long non-coding RNA, 252 nt
Organism: Oncorhynchus keta (chum salmon)
Lineage: Eukaryota; Metazoa; Chordata; Actinopteri; Salmoniformes; Salmonidae
Exons: 3
Source: RefSeq, a predicted model, not a curated record